RNAcentral lists this ribosomal RNA (37 nucleotides) under Streptococcus equinus. Its description in RNAcentral is "16S rRNA. Bacterial SSU". The record is from RNAcentral. Lineage: Bacteria; Bacillati; Bacillota; Bacilli; Lactobacillales; Streptococcaceae.
AUUAAAUGAGAGUUUGAUCCUGGCUCAGGACGAACGC